This 949-nucleotide ribosomal RNA is filed under the name Chinannus translucidus. Its description in RNAcentral is "bacterial SSU rRNA". It matches the Rfam family "Eukaryotic small subunit ribosomal RNA", at positions 426 to 1294 of the family's 1831-position model. Lineage: Eukaryota; Metazoa; Arthropoda; Insecta; Hemiptera; Schizopteridae. The record is from RNAcentral.
CAGCAGGCACGCAAUUACCCACUCCCGGCACGGGGAGGUAGUGACAAGAAAUAACGAUACGGGACUCAUCCGAGGCCCCGUAAUCGGAAUGAGUACACUUUAAAUCAUUUAACAAAAAUCUAUUGGAGGGUAAGUCUGGUGCCAGCAACCGCGGUAACUCCAGCUCCAAUAGCGUAUAUUAAAGUUGUUGCGGUUAAAAAGCUCGUAGUUGGUUCUGUGUGCCAUGCUGUCGGUUCACCGCCUGCCGGUGUUACUGACAUGUCAUGGGACGUCCUGUCGGUGGUAAUUAAAUGCUUAUUGUUUUUUUAGAGGCCUGUGCUUCUAAAUUAAACAUAAGUACUUUUAAUUGCCGAUUAAAUCCCGCCGCGGUGCUCUUUACUGAGUGUCGAGGUGGGCCGACACGUUUACUUUGAACAAAUUAAAGUGCUCAAAGCAGGCAAAAGUCUGCCUGAAUAGUAGUGCAUGGAAUAAUAGAAUAGGACCUUGGUUCUAUUUUGUUGGUUUUCUGAGUCCAAGGUAAUGAUCAAUAUGGACAGGCGGGGGCAUUCGUAUUGCGACGUUAGAGGUGAAAUUCUUGGAUCGUCGCAAGACGAACUAAAGCGAAAGCAUUUGCCAAGUAUGUCUUAAUUGAUCAAGAACGAAAGUUAGAGGUUCGAAGGCGAUCAGAUACCGCCCUAGUUCUAACCAUAAACGAUGCCAGCUGGCGAUCCGCCGAUGUUUUAUUCAUGACUCGACGGGCAGCUUCCGGGAAACCAAAGCUUUUGGGUUCCGGGGGAAGUAUGGUUGCAAAGCUGAAACUUAAAGGAAUUGACGGAAGGGCACCACAAGAAGUGGAGCCUGCGGCUUAAUUUGACUCAACACGUGAAACCUCACCAGGCCCAGACAUUGAAAGGAUUGACAGAUUGAUAGCUCUUUCUUGAUCCAGUGGGUAGUGGUGCAUGACCGUUCG